UGAGGAAUAUUGGACAAUGGGCGCAAGCCUGAUCCAGCCAUGCCGCGUGCAGGAAGACGGUCCUAUGGAUUGUAAACUGCUUUUAUACAGGAAGAAACACUCCCUCGUGAGGGAGCUUGACGGUACUGUAAGAAUAAGGAUCGGCUAACUCC
This 152-nucleotide ribosomal RNA is filed under the name uncultured Bacteroidota bacterium. RNAcentral's name for it is "uncultured Bacteroidetes bacterium partial 16S ribosomal RNA". It matches the Rfam family "Bacterial small subunit ribosomal RNA", at positions 355 to 504 of the family's 1533-position model. Lineage: Bacteria; Pseudomonadati; Bacteroidota. The record is from RNAcentral.